Molecule: ribosomal RNA, 466 nt
Filed under: uncultured bacterium
Lineage: Bacteria
Description: partial 16S ribosomal RNA
Rfam family: Bacterial small subunit ribosomal RNA
Source: RNAcentral
GAUGAACGCUGGCGGCGUGCUUAACACAUGCAAGUCGAACGAUGAAGCCCAGCUUGCUGGGUGGAUUAGUGGCGAACGGGUGAGUAACACGUGAGUAACCUGCCCUUAACUCUGGGAUAAGCCUGGGAAACUGGGUCUAAUACCGGAUAGGAGCGUCCACCGCAUGGUGGGUGUUGGAAAGAUUUAUCGGUUUUGGAUGGACUCGCGGCCUAUCAGCUUGUUGGUGAGGUAAUGGCUCACCAAGGCGACGCCGGGUAGCCGGCCUGAGAGGGUGACCGGCCACACUGGGACUGAGACACGGCCCAGACUCCUACGGGAGGCAGCAGUGGGGAAUAUUGCACAAUGGGCGCAAGCCUGAUGCAGCGACGCCGCGUGAGGGAUGACGGCCUUCGGGUUGUAAACCUCUUUCAGUAGGGAAGAAGCGAAAGUGACGGUACCUGCAGAAGAAGCACCGGCUAACUACGUG